UACGGAGGGUGCAAGCGUUGUCCGGAUUUAUUGGGUUUAAAGGGUGCGUAGGUGGUCAUUUAAGUCUGAUUUGAAAGCAGGCGGCUUAACCGUCUGAUGUGGUUGGAAACUGAAUGACUUGAAUGGGUUGGCGGUAGCCGGAAUGGGUCAUGUAGCGGUGAAAUGCAUAGAUAUGACCCGGAACACCGAUUGCGAAGGCAGGCUACUACGACUUGAUUGACACUGAGGCACGAGAGCAUGGGUAGCGAACAGG
RNAcentral lists this ribosomal RNA (253 nucleotides) under Spirosoma fluviale. Its description in RNAcentral is "partial 16S ribosomal RNA". It matches the Rfam family "Bacterial small subunit ribosomal RNA", at positions 524 to 776 of the family's 1533-position model. The record is from RNAcentral. RNAcentral also lists the same sequence under 2 other names. Lineage: Bacteria; Pseudomonadati; Bacteroidota; Cytophagia; Cytophagales; Cytophagaceae.